UUACUCUCCAACUCCAACUCCAUAACCAAAACUCUCUUUAGCUUCUUCUUUUCUCACUAUUUCUCUCCUUUUCUUCAGGGUUAGUUAGAUCUCACCCCUUUUGCUAUAUCUAUACUUAUAUGUAUAUAUAUAUAUGUUUUGGUAAGAAACAAUAAUUGUUAAUAUUUUAAUUUCUAUGUUUAUAAAUAUAAAUAUAUUAUUUAUGUUUAAUUCUUAUAUAAUUAUUCUUAGAUUCACUUGUGAACUACUUUUCACUUGGAUGUUGUGAUGAUGAUUUUUUCAGAAGUGUGUUCUUUGAAUCUUAAUAAAGGAGAGAUAGAUAGAUUUGAAUCUUAUCUAUCUUUUUUCAUUAUUUUUCUUCCUUUUUUUCCACCAUUAUUUGUUGAUUUUUUUAAGCUAAACUAUUUUGCCCUUCAGUUUUACAGGUUCUACUGAUGAAUAUAUAUAUAAAUUUUUUCUUGUCUUUUCUGCACAAGUUCAAUUUUCUUUCCUUAUUUUUUUUAUCUUAAAAAAUAAAAAAUAGGGAUUGUCAUACAAUAAUUUUUGUUGGGUUAAUAAAGCAUAAAUAAAACCUCUAUUUCCUCUCCUUAAAAUUUAAUCCUUUAUUAUUAUUGAUGCAUGAAGAGGGAGAUAAAUAGAUAGAUAGAUAGAUAGAUAGAUAUACAGUCGUUAUUUGCAGAUGUAGCAUCAUCAAGAUUCACAUGCAAAUGUAGAAGGUUGUGUAUGUGGGACUUUCUCUUUUGAAGUGAGAAUCUUGAUGAUGCUGCAUCGGCAAUAAACGCCUUCAAUUCAAUUCUUCAUUCAAAAUGCUGUUCCUAUUUACUCUCUCUGUUAGUUCAAUAGUAAGUUACUGUUUUAACCCCAAACAAACAGAUCAGAUAUAUAUAUAUAUAAUUGUCUCCAUUAUUAUUAUUAUAUAUAUAAAAAAAAAAGAGAUAGAGAGAGAGAGAGAUCUAAUCUGCAGAAGAAUUGAGUUUCAGCAAUUGGUGAAGGUGAUGACCCCCUUUUUUUCCUCCACUUUCAUUCACUUUCUGUUGUUGUCAGGUGGUUUUUUUUUUUAAUUUCGUUUUAUUUUUCUAGUAUUAUAUAUACAUUUCUUUAUUUUAUUUAAUUAAUUGCCACAUUCACAAUGGAUAUAUAAUUAUAUAUGGGUAUGGUCUUGCAAUAUUUUAUUAGAAAUUCAACAAUACAACAAAUAUGUGUAUAUAUAAUUGAAUUGAAUUGGAUUGGAUUGGACAGAUUAGUACAAAAUGUCUAAUAUUAUGUUUUUCUUUAAUUCUGUGUUUUAAUUUAUUUAGGAUGAUAAGUAUAUAAUAUUAGAAUAUAUAGGGACAUUAAUAAGUUAGGUGUUGUUGCAAUUUGCAGACAGUCCUAGGUUGUCAAAAUAGGGUUAUUUGGGAGGGGAAGGGGGAUGUGGUUGUUAGGUCUUCUUUAUGUGCUGACUUCACAGAUCUAUGAAUGUUCCUUUUCAACACAAAUUUCAGGGAUUCAUAAAUUGCAUACCAUGGCGUCUUUUAACUUUCUAAAUAUAGAUUAUCAUGCAUUAUAUAAAUAUAUAUCCCAUUCUACAAAUCUAGAGAGAGAAAUUAAAGGAGCAUAUGGAUAAUGGAUUUUAGUUUAGGGUACUCAUUUGGUGAUGUUGUUUCUUGAUAUAUAAUUUUUCACUUAUAUCUAUAUCUAUAUCUAUAUGUAGUAAUACUACUAAAUUUUAUAAUUAUCUUAUAUGAUUUUAUUUUAUUUUAUUUUUUCACCUGAAAUUUCACUGCUAAUUUCUAAGAGUUCAUGAAGAAAUUAAAGCUUUGUGAUUGUGAAUGUGAAUGGAUAAUUCCAAUAGUCAUCAUAAGUCACAAGCAGUUCUGUACUUGUUAUUGCAAUAUUAUUCUAUUUACAAUAAUGUUUUAGUAUAACAAGUUAUAAAUUUAAUUAUGAUUAAUAAUUCUUAUUCUUUUGGUAGUGAGCUUAGUAUUACAUGAGUUUAGUAAAACAAGACUAUUUGAGUGAUGACAAAAUUCUUUCUUCUAAAUUUUAACUUAGUUAAUUACCUUUAACUAAAACUUAAAAAUCUAAUAUAUAUUAUUUACAUGCUUGUUGAUUAUAUUGCUUAGUAUAACAUAUGUACAAAUUAAUAAUUUAAUAGUAUACAUAUAUAUAGUGUUAAGUACUGUACAUGUACUAUAUAUUAAUGAAAUUAAUGUUUGUAUGUGUGGAUUAUUGCGAGGGUUUGCAUAUGGCAAUGAAAUUAAGCAAAAAUCAUUGAAAAUUGAAGCUGGGUUGGCUUGGGAACUUGGAUUAUGCAAAAUCAAUGACACUAUGUGAUGAGUUCCAUGAUCAAGGGGAUUUGGCAGUAGUAACUUACUAUAUUUUAUAUGAUAAGUAUGUUGAUGAUGGACUAAUCUGAGAGGUUGGAGGCUCAAAAAUUACCAGCAGAGGUAGAUACAUGCUUCAUGUUGGGGAGUAACCAACUAAGUCUUAAAGAUAUAAUCUCUUCUAAUUUCAGGAGGCCAGUUUCUAUCACCAAACCUUGAAAAGAUCCAACAGAUCAAUGAGGAAGAAGUCAUAGCUGGAAAUGAUUCAAGACAAAAUAAGUAUGAGUGGCUGCAAUGCAGAAAAUAGGGCAGGAAUAUGAGUAAGAUGAUGCUGAUGGCUGUUAAGCUCAUGUGACAUGUGGACGCCACAUUGGUACUUCUCUGCUGCUUUUGUUUCUACCUUUUUUAUCUUUUUUUUUUUUAAAUUAUUUGAACAAUAAAAAUUAGUUCUCCAUUCACAUAA
Arachis duranensis is the source of this 2769-nucleotide long non-coding RNA. RefSeq lists it as uncharacterized. The transcript is spliced from 4 exons. NCBI's taxonomy places the organism in Eukaryota, Viridiplantae, Streptophyta, Magnoliopsida, Fabales, Fabaceae. The record is from RefSeq and is a predicted model, not a curated record.